This 72-nucleotide transfer RNA is filed under the name Lachnospiraceae bacterium. RNAcentral describes it as "tRNA-Arg". It matches the Rfam family "tRNA". Rfam says of the family: Transfer RNA (tRNA) molecules are approximately 80 nucleotides in length. Their secondary structure includes four short double-helical elements and three loops (D, anti-codon, and T loops). Lineage: Bacteria; Bacillati; Bacillota; Clostridia; Lachnospirales; Lachnospiraceae. The record is from RNAcentral.
GCACCUGUAGCUCAGGGGAUAGAGCAGUGGAUUCCGGUUCCACGAGCGGGGGUUCGAAUCCCUCCAGGUGCG